UCUCUGGGCCUUGGAUCUGAUGGAGAGGAA
Molecule: non-coding RNA, 30 nt
Filed under: Mus musculus (house mouse)
Lineage: Eukaryota; Metazoa; Chordata; Mammalia; Rodentia; Muridae
Source: RNAcentral